GGUAGUGGUGGCUCAGGGAUUAAAAUGUUGGACUUCUGAUCAGAAGGUCAUGAGAUCAAAUCCCAGCACUGCCA
Ameiurus melas (black bullhead) is the source of this 74-nucleotide non-coding RNA. The record is from the annotation of a GenBank genome assembly. Lineage: Eukaryota; Metazoa; Chordata; Actinopteri; Siluriformes; Ictaluridae.